AUUGAAUUCAAUAGACCAUUUGCUAUCCAACUUGAUGUAUCAAGUCAUUGCAGAAUCGACUUUAAAGGCUGAUCAGUUAAGAUAAUAACUGAAUGAGCUAGAAAAUAAGGCUGAAGUCAUUGGACCAAUGUGAUAAGAGCAUAAAUUAUUUUCUCUACCUUAGCAUACUGGGUUUCAGCAUCUUAUAGUAAUUUGCUUGUAUAGU
RNAcentral lists this long non-coding RNA (205 nucleotides) under Elaeis guineensis (African oil palm). RNAcentral's name for it is "long non-coding RNA (EGUI_LNC043011)". Lineage: Eukaryota; Viridiplantae; Streptophyta; Magnoliopsida; Arecales; Arecaceae. The record is from RNAcentral.